GGAUGUGAGGGCGAUCUGGCUGCGACAUCUGUCACCCCAUUGAUCGCCAGGGUUGAUUCGGCUGAUCUGGCUGGCUAGGCGGGUGUCCCCCUCCUCCCUCACCGAUCCAUGUUCGUCCCUCCCGAAGCUGCGCGCUCGGUCGAAGAGGACGACCUUCCCCCCACAGGAGAGGACCGGUCUUCGGUCAAGGGUAUACGAGUAGCUGCGCUCCCCUGCUAGAACCUCCAAACAAGCUCUCAAGGUCCAAAAACCUGAACUCAUAAUUUGAAAUGCUGCAGUGUUACAUUGUGAAACCAAAUGACCACACAGGUAUUAAAGUCUAAAAAAUCU
Myotis lucifugus (little brown bat) is the source of this 330-nucleotide unclassified non-coding RNA. Its record names the gene 7SK. It matches the Rfam family "7SK RNA". From Rfam's summary of the family: 7SK was discovered as an abundant small nuclear RNA in the mid-70s but a possible function has only recently been suggested. Two independent studies have found that 7SK RNA binds the CDK9/cyclin T complex (known as elongation factor P-TEFb). The record is from Ensembl. NCBI's taxonomy places the organism in Eukaryota, Metazoa, Chordata, Mammalia, Chiroptera, Vespertilionidae.